Molecule: ribosomal RNA, 488 nt
Filed under: uncultured bacterium
Lineage: Bacteria
Description: bacterial SSU rRNA
Rfam family: Bacterial small subunit ribosomal RNA
Source: RNAcentral
GACGAACGCUGGCGGCGUGCCUAAUACAUGCAAGUUGAGCGCUGAAGGUUGGUACUUGUACCGACUGGAUGAGCAGCGAACGGGUGAGUAACGCGUGGGGAAUCUGCCUUUGAGCGGGGGACAACAUUUGGAAACGAAUGCUAAUACCGCAUAAAAACUUUAAACACAAGUUUUAAGUUUGAAAGAUGCAAUUGCAUCACUCAAAGAUGAUCCCGCGUUGUAUUAGCUAGUUGGUGAGGUAAAGGCUCACCAAGGCGAUGAUACAUAGCCGACCUGAGAGGGUGAUCGGCCACAUUGGGACUGAGACACGGCCCAAACUCCUACGGGAGGCAGCAGUAGGGAAUCUUCGGCAAUGGACGAAAGUCUGACCGAGCAACGCCGCGUGAGUGAAGAAGGUUUUCGGAUCGUAAAACUCUGUUGGUAGAGAAGAACGUUGGUGAGAGUGGAAAGCUCAUCAAGUGACGGUAACUACCCAGAAAGGGACGGCU